GAGAGUUUGAUCCUGGCUCAGGAUGAACGCUGGCGGCGUGCCUAAUACAUGCAAGUCGAGCGAACGGACGAGAAGCUUGCUUCUCUGAUGUUAGCGGCGGACGGGUGAGUAACACGUGGAUAACCUACCUAUAAGACUGGGAUAACUUCGGGAAACCGGAGCUAAUACCGGAUAAUAUUUUGAACCGCAUGGUUCAAAAGUGAAAGACGGUCUUGCUGUCACUUAUAGAUGGAUCCGCGCUGCAUUAGCUAGUUGGUAAGGUAACGGCUUACCAAGGCAACGAUGCAUAGCCGACCUGAGAGGGUGAUCGGCCACACUGGAACUGAGACACGGUCCAGACUCCUACGGGAGGCAGCAGUAGGGAAUCUUCCGCAAUGGGCGAAAGCCUGACGGAGCAACGCCGCGUGAGUGAUGAAGGUCUUCGGAUCGUAAAACUCUGUUAUUAGGGAAGAACAUAUGUGUAAGUAACUGUGCACAUCUUGACGGUACCUAAUCAGAAAGCCACGGCUAACUACGUGCCAGCAGCCGCGGUAAUACGUAGGUGGCAAGCGUUAUCCGGAAUUAUUGGGCGUAAAGCGCGCGUAGGCGGUUUUUUAAGUCUGAUGUGAAAGCCCACGGCUCAACCGUGGAGGGUCAUUGGAAACUGGAAAACUUGAGUGCAGAAGAGGAAAGUGGAAUUCCAUGUGUAGCGGUGAAAUGCGCAGAGAUAUGGAGGAACACCAGUGGCGAAGGCGACUUUCUGGUCUGUAACUGACGCUGAUGUGCGAAAGCGUGGGGAUCAAACAGGAUUAGAUACCCUGGUAGUCCACGCCGUAAACGAUGAGUGCUAAGUGUUAGGGGGUUUCCGCCCCUUAGUGCUGCAGCUAACGCAUUAAGCACUCCGCCUGGGGAGUACGACCGCAAGGUUGAAACUCAAAGGAAUUGACGGGGACCCGCACAAGCGGUGGAGCAUGUGGUUUAAUUCGAAGCAACGCGAAGAACCUUACCAAAUCUUGACAUCCUUUUGACAACUCUAGAGAUAGAGCCUUCCCCUUCGGGGGACAAAGUGACAGGUGGUGCAUGGUUGUCGUCAGCUCGUGUCGUGAGAUGUUGGGUUAAGUCCCGCAACGAGCGCAACCCUUAAGCUUAGUUGCCAUCAUUAAGUUGGGCACUCUAAGUUGACUGCCGGUGACAAACCGGAGGAAGGUGGGGAUGACGUCAAAUCAUCAUGCCCCUUAUGAUUUGGGCUACACACGUGCUACAAUGGACAAUACAAAGGGCAGCGAAACCGCGAGGUCAAGCAAAUCCCAUAAAGUUGUUCUCAGUUCGGAUUGUAGUCUGCAACUCGACUACAUGAAGCUGGAAUCGCUAGUAAUCGUAGAUCAGCAUGCUACGGUGAAUACGUUCCCGGGUCUUGUACACACCGCCCGUCACACCACGAGAGUUUGUAACACCCGAAGCCGGUGGAGUAACCUUUUAGGAGCUAGCCGUCGAAGGUGGGACAAAUGAUUGGGGUGAAGUCGUAACAAGGUAGCCGUAUCGGAAGGUGCGGCUGGAUCACCUCCUUUCUAAGGAUA
This 1556-nucleotide ribosomal RNA is filed under the name Staphylococcus aureus. Its description in RNAcentral is "16S ribosomal RNA". It matches the Rfam family "Bacterial small subunit ribosomal RNA". Lineage: Bacteria; Bacillati; Bacillota; Bacilli; Caryophanales; Staphylococcaceae. The record is from RNAcentral.